UGGUAAAAGGUCUUCUCGAAAAGGAGAAGACGCGGGUUCGAUUCCCGAUAUCCGC
This 55-nucleotide transfer RNA is filed under the name Erodium crassifolium. RNAcentral describes it as "tRNA-Gly". Lineage: Eukaryota; Viridiplantae; Streptophyta; Magnoliopsida; Geraniales; Geraniaceae. The record is from RNAcentral.